UGAUCCAGCCAUUCCGCGUGAGUGAAGAAGGCCUUCGGGUUGUAAAGCUCUUUCGGCAGGGACGAAACGGCGAGCUCUAACAUAGCUCGCUAAUGACGGUACCUGAAGAAGAAGCACCGGCUAACUACGUGCCAGCAGCCGCGGUAAUACGUAGGGUGCGAGCGUUAAUCGGAAUUACUGGGCGUAAAGCGUGCGCAGGCGGUUGUGUAAGACAGGUGUGAAAUCCCCGGGCUUAACCUGGGAACUGCGCUUGUGACUGCACGGCUAGAGUAUGGCAGAGGGGGGUGGAAUUCCACGUGUAGCAGUGAAAUGCGUAGAGAUGUGGAGGAACACCGAUGGCGAAGGCAGCCCCCUGGGCCAAUACUGACGCUCAUGCACGAAAGCGUGGGGAGCAAACAGGAUUAGAUACCCUGGUAGUCCACGCCCUAAACGAUGUCGACUAGGUGUUCGGUGAGGAGACUCAUUGAGUACCGCAGCUAACGCGUGAAGUCGACCGCCUGGGGA
RNAcentral lists this ribosomal RNA (504 nucleotides) under uncultured Rhodocyclales bacterium. RNAcentral's name for it is "bacterial SSU rRNA". It matches the Rfam family "Bacterial small subunit ribosomal RNA", at positions 384 to 879 of the family's 1533-position model. The record is from RNAcentral. Lineage: Bacteria; Pseudomonadati; Pseudomonadota; Betaproteobacteria; Rhodocyclales.